CCUACGGGGGGCUGCAGUGGGGAAUAUUGCACAAUGGGCGGAAGCCUGAUGCAGCAACGCCGCGUGCGGGAUGACGGCCUUCGGGUUGUAAACCGCUUUCGCCUAUGACGAAGCUUUUGUGACGGUAGUAGGAGAAGAAGCACCGGCUAACUACGUGCCAGCAGCCGCGGUGAUACGUAGGGUGCGAGCGUUGUCCGGAUUUAUUGGGCGUAAAGAGCUUGUAGGCGGUUGGUCGCGUCGAUAGUGCAAACUCAGGGCUUAACUCUGAGCCUGCUGUCGAUACGGGCUGACUUGAGGGAUGUAGGGGAGAAUGGAAUUCCCGGUGGAGCGGUGGAAUGCGCAGAUAUCGGGAGGAACACCGGUGGCGAAGGCGGUUCUCUGGACAUUUCCUGACGCUGAGAAGCGAAAGCGUGGGGAGCAAACAGGCUUAGAUACCCCUGUAGUC
RNAcentral lists this ribosomal RNA (445 nucleotides) under uncultured Propionimicrobium sp. RNAcentral's name for it is "bacterial SSU rRNA". It matches the Rfam family "Bacterial small subunit ribosomal RNA", at positions 338 to 795 of the family's 1533-position model. Lineage: Bacteria; Bacillati; Actinomycetota; Actinomycetes; Propionibacteriales; Propionibacteriaceae. The record is from RNAcentral.